AAAAUUUAUUAGCCAUCCAUAAAAAAAAUGUUCACAACAGGCAAGAAGUCAAACCCUAAGUUGAUUUGGAUUGAAUAAAACGUGUAUGUACAUGUAUGAGAAGUAAAGGAAAGCAAGAGUGAGAAUACUGACUGGGUUGCUUUAAUCUGCAAGUCAUAAGCUGUCUGCCUCACAGGGGCUUAUUGCAGAGGGGUGCUUGCCUACGCCAUACCCAGGAACUAUGCAGGAAUGGGGUCCUAGGCUGACUCAGGGCCUCAGCGUCAUCAGUGCUCUCCCCAUCUCCUUUGUCCUUAGCCACGUCUUGUCAUGGGAACAAUGUGACUGCCCUAGCUCAAAGCAUCCUACGUAUACCGGAAUUACUUCCACAAAUCAUGAAGGAGGGAGGUAUCUUCUUUGGAAUUAAAAAUGAGUAUAUUCAUUUAAAAACUGUUUACAACACACAUCUUAAAAACCUGUGAAACGUUAUUGUCCUUUUUUUUUUAGAACUAUUGUUUUUUAAAAAAUUUAUUUAUUCAUUUGAAAGGCAGAGUUAUAGAGACAGAGAGAGGAGAGUCUUCACUUGCUGGUUCACUCCCCAAAUGGCCGCAACGGCCAGAGCUGCGCUGAUCCAAAGCCAGGAGCUUGGAGCUUCUCGGUCUCCCACGCGGGUGCAGGGGCCAAGGACGUGGGCCAUCCUCCUCUGCUUUCCCAGACACAGCGGAGAGCUGGAUCGGAAGUGGAGCAGCUGACUCGAACUGGUGCCCAUAUAGGAUGCUGGCACUGCAGGCCAUGGCUUUACCCGCUAUACCACAGCGCUGGCCCCAGUGUUACCGAUUUUUAAAAUAUAUUUUCACAAAAUAAUUUUAAGAAACAUGUGAAAGGUGAAGAAGCUGAAUUAUUAUUUCAGAGCCUCCAGUGCUUUUGGUCCAGGCCAGGCCAGGCCAGCCAAGUAGGCAAAGAGGUUUGUAAGAAAAAUUGAUUUCUAACUUUGAAAUGAUUCUUAAGCAGAUGGUUAAAGCUGUUUCAGUUUUUCUUUUUUAAACAGAAGAAAAUGAAACAUGUUAAAGCUGAAGGACUCUCCCAAAGCCAUCUAGCUGGUAGGUGGCAGAACUAGUCUGAAUCCAAGUUUUUGUUUUAUACCACGUAGCACUUACUGUAUAGAAAAAUAGCUAAAUAAACUGCUCUUAUUAUCUUAGUCA
This 1178-nucleotide long non-coding RNA is filed under the name Oryctolagus cuniculus (rabbit). RNAcentral's name for it is "lncRNA (ENSOCUG00000033284.1)". Lineage: Eukaryota; Metazoa; Chordata; Mammalia; Lagomorpha; Leporidae. The record is from RNAcentral.